GUCGAGGGGUAUAGGUUUUCGGACCUAGAGACCGGCGCACGGGUGCGUAACGCGUAUGCAAUCUACCUUUUACAGAGGGAUAGCCCAGAGAAAUUUGGAUUAAUACCUCAUAGUAUUAUUGAAUGGCAUCAUUUAAUAAUUAAAGUUCCAACGGUAAAAGAUGAGCAUGCGUCCCAUUAGCUAGAUGGUAAGGUAACGGCUUACCAUGGCAACGAUGGGUAGGGGUCCUGAGAGGGAGAUCCCCCACACUGGUACUGAGACACGGACCAGACUCCUACGGGAGGCAGCAGUGAGGAAUAUUGGUCAAUGGGCGCAAGCCUGAACCAGCCAUGCCGCGUGCAGGAUGACGGUCCUAUGGAUUGUAAACUGCUUUUGUACAGGAAGAAACAGUUCUACGUGUAGAACCUUGACGGUACUGUAAGAAUAAGGAUCGGCUAACUCCGUGCCAGCAGCCGCGGUAAUACGGAGGAUCCAAGCGUUAUCCGGAAUCAUUGGGUUUAAAGGGUCCGUAGGCGGUUUUGUAAGUCAGUGGUGAAAGCCCAUCGCUCAACGGUGGAACGGCCAUUGAUACUGCAAGACUUGAAUUACUAGGAAGUAACUAGAAUAUGUAGUGUACCGGUGAAAUGCUUAGAGAUUACAUGGAAUACCAAUUGCGAAGGCAGGUUACUACUAGUGGAUUGACGCUGAUGGACGAAAGCGUGGGGAGCGAACAGGAUUAGAUACCCUGGUA
RNAcentral lists this ribosomal RNA (730 nucleotides) under uncultured bacterium. RNAcentral's name for it is "bacterial SSU rRNA". It matches the Rfam family "Bacterial small subunit ribosomal RNA", at positions 61 to 792 of the family's 1533-position model. The record is from RNAcentral.